UAUAUAUUGUGGUUGAAACGCUCGAAAUUUAGUUAAAAUUUUUGGAACUUUAGCAACAUGCAAGGGAUUUUAAAUCAUGACCAUGAAGCAAUAAAUCAUUACAAUUUAGAGCACUCUCUCGAAAUCGCUAUAUGUAUAUAAAAAAAAUAUUAAAACACUCUACAACCAAACAAAAUUUACAAUUCUAAAGUGAAUUGCGCUGAAGAACAAGUUUAGAAAGUUGUGAACUUAACCUUAACUUAUUCUUUUCUUGUAUUUUGUAUGCAGUUUCCGUCACCUGAUUCCCCAUUUCUAUGCCAAUAACCUAAACUAAAACCAAACAUUGAUAUUGCUAAAAUAAUACAGCGCAAAUUAUCCAGCUAUAUAAAGUUUUACUUUGGUGAUAUGAAAAUUCCCCAAAGAUACAAUGAAAAAAUGACUAAAAUCCAAAUAUUUAUUUUCUGAUCUGAACAAUUUUUUUGUGUGAAAGCUUAGUAUACAGCUGUCGAGAAAAUCUGAAGACAUUUUUUUUUUCUGUUGCUUGAAAAAAAUACUUUGCUUUUGCUCUAAGUUGUUCUUGAGAAGUGUAAACUGUUUUAAGAAAAUUUGAUAGAAGAAAAUUUCUUUUCAAUUUCUUGAACUUUUGUUUCUUUUGAGAACUGUAUACUAUGCUUUAAGAUGAAAUUUACCUUUAAUCUUCACACCCAUUUUUCUGUUCAUGGAUUUCCUUACAUUUAACAAAAAUCAAUUGUACACAAAUAUAUCUACAAUUUUUUUUAAUGAUUCGCUUUAAUUAUAUUAAUUUAAUGAUCAUGAAAAAUCACUGCAACAAUUAAAACUGCGGGUUUUAAAAAGAAAAAAAUAUUUUAUAUAACCUAUAAUAGUAUUAGAGUAAUCAGUUAUAAGGAUGCACUGGUGACGUCAAGUCCAUAUUUAAUACUAUGACAGCAAAAAUAGAAUACUAAUUUAAUUGAUUUGUCCCUAAACAAAGAGUUAAAGUAAAUUAAAUAUAAAUAAAUUUACA
Long non-coding RNA from Rhagoletis zephyria (snowberry fruit fly), 1003 nucleotides. RefSeq lists it as uncharacterized. Lineage: Eukaryota; Metazoa; Arthropoda; Insecta; Diptera; Tephritidae. The record is from RefSeq and is a predicted model, not a curated record.